RNAcentral lists this ribosomal RNA (406 nucleotides) under uncultured bacterium. Its description in RNAcentral is "partial 16S ribosomal RNA". It matches the Rfam family "Bacterial small subunit ribosomal RNA", at positions 30 to 526 of the family's 1533-position model. The record is from RNAcentral.
AUUGAACGCUGGCGGCAGGCCUAACACAUGCAAGUCGAACGAGUGGCGGACGGGUGAGUAAUGUCUGGGAAACUGCCCGAUGGAGGGGGAUAACUACUGGAAACGGUAGCUAAUACCGCAUACCAUCGGAUGUGCCCAGAUGGGGUUAGCUUGUAGGUGAGGUAACGGCUCACCUAGGCGACGAUCCCUAGCUGGUCUGAGAGGAUGACCAGCCACAGUGGGACGGAGACACGGUCCAGUCUCCUACGGGAGGGCUCAGUGGGGAAUAUUGCACAAUUGGCGAAAUACUGAUGCAGCCACGCCGCGUGUAUGAAGAAGGCCUUCGGUUUGUAAAGUACUGUCAGCGGGGAGUCGUUACCCGCAGAAGAAGCACCGGCUAACUCCGUGCCAGCAGCCGCGGUAAUAC